GAUGAACGCUGGCGGCGUGCUUAACACAUGCAGGUCGAACGGAAAGGCCCAAGCUUGCUUGGGUACUCGAGUGGCGAACGGGUGAGUAACACGUGGGUGAUCUGCCCUGCACUUCGGGAUAAGCCUGGGAAACUGGGUCUAAUACUGGAUAGGACCACUUCUUGGAUGUUGUGGGGGAAAGUUUUUUCGGUGUGGGAUGAGCUCGCGGCCUAUCAGCUUGUUGGUGGGGUAAUGGCCUACCAAGGCGUCGACGGGUAGCCGGCCUGAGAGGGUGUACGGCCACAUUGGGACUGAGAUACGGCCCAGACUCCUACGGGAGGCAGCAGUGGGGAAUAUUGCACAAUGGGCGCAAGCCUGAUGCAGCGACGCCGCGUGGGGGAUGACGGCCUUCGGGUUGUAAACUCCUUUCGCUAGGGACGAAGCGUUUUGUGACGGUACCUGGAGAAGAAGCACCGGCUAACUACGUG
This 467-nucleotide ribosomal RNA is filed under the name uncultured bacterium. Its description in RNAcentral is "partial 16S ribosomal RNA". It matches the Rfam family "Bacterial small subunit ribosomal RNA", at positions 28 to 507 of the family's 1533-position model. The record is from RNAcentral.